UUUAAUUAAAUGUUUUACUCACAUAGAUGGUACACUGUAAACAUCGGAAUGUACAUCAUAGGAAAUCAUUAAAGAUAAAAUACGAAAAAACUUCAGUGCUACCAUUUGAAGAAAUAAGUUCUAAUAGCGAAAUAGAUCAGACUCACCCACUACCACUAAUUUUUACUGGAAGAGUGGUUAGAAAUCACAGAGGAAGGCGC
RNAcentral lists this small RNA (200 nucleotides) under Drosophila ananassae. Its description in RNAcentral is "GF26708". The record is from RNAcentral. Lineage: Eukaryota; Metazoa; Arthropoda; Insecta; Diptera; Drosophilidae.